AACGAACGCUGGCGGCAUGCCUAACACAUGCAAGUCGAACGAGACCUUCGGGUCUAGUGGCGCACGGGUGCGUAACGCGUGGGAACCUGCCCUUAGGUUCGGAAUAACUCCCCGAAAGGGGUGCUAAUACCGGAUAAUGUCUUCGGACCAAAGAUUUAUCGCCUCUGGAUGGGCCCGCGUUGGUUUAGCUAGUUGGUAGGGUAAAAGCCUACCAAGGCGACGAUCCAUAGCUGGUCUGAGAGGAUGAUCAGCCACACUGGGACUGAGACACGGCCCAGACUGGUACGGGGGGGAGCAGUGGGGAAUACUGGACGAGGGGCGAAAGCGUGAUACAGCCAUGCCGCGGGAGUGAUGAAGGCCUUAGUGUUGUACAGCUCUUUUACCCGGAAUGAUAAUGACGGUACCGGGAGAAUAAGCACCGGCUAACUCCGUG
Molecule: ribosomal RNA, 433 nt
Filed under: uncultured bacterium
Lineage: Bacteria
Description: partial 16S ribosomal RNA
Rfam family: Bacterial small subunit ribosomal RNA
Source: RNAcentral